Pelobates fuscus (common spadefoot toad) is the source of this 323-nucleotide long non-coding RNA. RefSeq lists it as uncharacterized. The transcript is spliced from 3 exons. NCBI's taxonomy places the organism in Eukaryota, Metazoa, Chordata, Amphibia, Anura, Pelobatidae. The record is from RefSeq and is a predicted model, not a curated record.
AUGGUGCUUAGAGUGUGCUUAGUGACAAGAGCUGCAGCAUGGCUUCCUGCACUGGGAGGGAAGAUCUGAGUCAAGGAUACCCCUUCCCUAUGCUAGAAAGACACUCCAAUACAGAUAAGAGUGCUUCGGAGGAAAUGACCUCUGAUAAUGUGACAGAAUGAUCCAAUGGACCCCUGCAAUGGCCACUCCUCUGCACCAUUCACCCACCAAAGAUUGAUUGUAUGGCCUGUAGACAGGCUUGGGGGUUUCCCACAGGCCCAGCAGGGCAUUCUGGGAGAAUCGUGGAAACAUAAUUUCUGUACCCAAAACAGACACUUACCAAG